ACUGUCUCGUAUUAUUAUCGAUUC
Molecule: small nuclear RNA, 24 nt
Filed under: Arabidopsis thaliana (thale cress)
Lineage: Eukaryota; Viridiplantae; Streptophyta; Magnoliopsida; Brassicales; Brassicaceae
Description: snRNA_08876
Source: RNAcentral